This 1056-nucleotide long non-coding RNA is filed under the name Phascolarctos cinereus (koala). RNAcentral describes it as "lncRNA (ENSPCIG00000010625.2)". Lineage: Eukaryota; Metazoa; Chordata; Mammalia; Diprotodontia; Phascolarctidae. The record is from RNAcentral.
GUCUUUGGACUUGAAACCAAAAUGAGGAUGGCUAAAGCUAUUCUUCAUUUUUCAGGAAGUAGUACCACAGCUGAAGUUAGCAGUUGGAACCAGAAAGAAAGUCCACUAUCUCAUGUUCAAUGGGAAUAGAGCAGAGAGUGAUAUGCUGUGACUAUGAGAUGAGUGGGAUGCCAUCAAGUAAUGGAAAUGGAAGGCCAGCAGAGAGCAAUGCCAAGCAGAAAACUAUACAUUCAGCUGACCUGCACUCAACACAGCUCCUUAUAUGUCAUCUGGGCAGGAGUCCGGUCAUCUUGCACACAUUGAACUUUGCAGCUGCUGCUGCCCUACCACCCUCGGCUCUCAGGAUCCAUUUGGCUGUUGGCAACUUCUGAACCAUUGUUGAAUUUCAGAUCUGUUCUUGGUUGGGAAACCAAUCUGAAACUUGAUUCAGCUUUUUGAAAGUCAAAGUGGCCUUUGCAUUUGGAUAUUAACUUUUUCUAGCACCUGGGGGUAGUUAUUACUGGUAGGACACUCCAGGAAUUUAAAUUUGAUUGAUUAAUUGAUGGUAAAAAUUAUAUUAUGUAAAUGCAAAUGCAGAAUUGAGUUGAGAGCUCACUGUGGCCUGAAAGCAUUUUUUAAAAGGCCAGAUUGGACCUAAGGAAAUUGGAAGUUUUUUAGUCCUUGCUAUUAAAAAAGAAAUAAUAAGUCAGACUAUAACAAUGCCAUGAAUGAAGGCCAAAGUUUCCUUCUCUUUUUCCGCCAUGUUAUCACAAUGUAUUAUCACAAUGUAACUAUUCCCCCUGUAAACUCUGAUGUAAAGGAAUCAGGCUGAGCUUUUGUGAAAGUCUUUUUUUUUUUGCUUCCCUGUCUUAUCAUGCUUAUGAACCUCAUAAACAUCAGUGCACCAAACAACUUAGGCAGAUCGAAAGACAAGGCCUGAAAACAUCGUGAUAAAAUGAAAUUGAAGAGGGUGGCACAAAAGAAUCUGUGGCCAUUAAUUUUUAUAGCUGAUGCAGCUACUAAUAUUUUAUGAGGUUUGGAACUAUUGAUAUAUAUUAAAAAAAACCCUAAUAUCUG